Molossus molossus (Pallas's mastiff bat) is the source of this 122-nucleotide small nucleolar RNA. RefSeq annotates it as small nucleolar RNA SNORA32. The transcript has a single exon. NCBI's taxonomy places the organism in Eukaryota, Metazoa, Chordata, Mammalia, Chiroptera, Molossidae. The record is from RefSeq and is a predicted model, not a curated record.
UGGUCCUGACCAAGGCUUUCAGAAUGCAGUUUCUCAUUCGUCGUGGACAUGACCACAGACCAUUUUCCCACUAGGUUUUUUUUCCUGCUCUGUUGGUAAUGUGCAGCCUACUGGGAACAUUU